AUUUGCAUCACCACAUUUGCCUCGCACAUUUAAACAUGUGACGCAAUUGACAGUUCUAAGCUUUAAAAUUAGUCAUUUGCGUCGCAGAAUUAUUAAUCUGCGACGCAAAUGACUCUAAAAUGUUCUCAGAGUCAUUUGCGUCGCAGAUUAGUAAUAAUGCGACGCAAAAUAUUACCUCCUUUGCGUCGCAGAAUUACUAAUCUGCGACGCAAAUGACUCUUUAAGUCACCUGCGUCGCAGAUUAGUAAUUCUGCGACGCAGAGGAGGUAAAAAAAAUUCGGAAGUUUUUAAUUAUUCCUUCUCCCCUCUUUUUCUCUCUCUUCUUCUUUCCAGAACUCCAUUCAUGAGAUGUCAAUACCUCUCAAUCUUUCAUUCAUUUGAAAUCUCCUCUAACCACUAUACGUAUUUUGCCUUUAAUUUACCCGGAAAAAUCAAGAUUUGCGAAAACACGGCUCGAAGAGAAAAAUCCUAGAUUCCGCCGCGAAGAAGGAGACAUUUCAAAGCAGUGCAGCUCGAUUGCUAGCGAGUCUCCGAUCCAAUUCUGCGAAUUAGUUCGUCGGCGAUUUAGGUACAGCGCAAUUUAUGUUAAUUAGGGUUCUUGUUUAUCAGCCUACGGUGUAUAGAAGAUUUCAAGGGUUCUUGUUUAUCAGCCUAUUUCUAGGGUUUUUAAGGUUGGGUGAAACGCCAAACCGUUGGAGCUGGAUCUUCGGUUAACGUCGCCGCCGUCAUUGAUUACCUUAUUUCUUAGAUGGUGCCUGAUAUUGUAGAGGGUGAUGGGUUUGUUGGGAGGCAGCCUCAUAUCAAGUAUGAGCUCAGAGAUAGUCCUGGUCUUGUGAAUGUAGGAGGAUACAACCAAUGUGUAUUCUUCAACUGCAGUUAUAGUAGUUCGGAUACUCCACUGAGUGAGGGUCAGUGCCAUUGGUUUUCUCCCAAGGGUUCUACUUUGCUUAAAGCGGGCUCUAAAAAUCGCAAAUGCCGCUCAACAGAUGGCUAAUGCUACUCGGGGUAGUGGUGGUUUAGUUAUGCUGUUCAUUGAAAUCAUCAAUAAGUAUCUCUAUUUUUUUGAGAAGGGAAACAACCAAAUCACCGUCAAUACAAUCCAGGAUCUAAUGGAAUUAAUUACUACAGAGAUGCAAAGUGAUAAUGCGGCAACAGAUUCUGCUGCUGAAGCUUUCUUUGCAAGCACAUUGCGGUACAUCCAAUUCCAGAAACAAAAAGGUGGCGCAGUUAGUGAGAAAUAUGAACCUAAUGAGAACUGAAAAGUUAAAACUUGAGAAAGGGAAACAAACUCGGUAACAAUUGCUCUUCAAUCCGCUAAACUUGUGAGAAUUGUCGCCUUUGAUCUUGCUCUUGGGACUCUUGAAUGGUUCCCUCAUUUGUCUUUGAAUACGCUGACGCUGACGCUGCGUGCUACGUGUGUCAUGGGAAGUUGCUUAUCCAAGCAUGAUCUCAACUCUCAAAUUGAUUUGGUAAUUGAAAUUUUGAAGCGUCCAGGAGAAGUCCUCCCUGUUUGUCUUAGUGUCGCACGAACGCUGUAAAUUCAUAAUUUAGUGUGCUUCAAUUUUAAUUUCUCGGCUUUUUUUUUCUCGGUUCAAAUUUUUAUUUUUAUUUCAUAUUGUAAUUUGUUUGAUUUUGGUCUGACAAUGGAGUUUUUUUCAUCUGCUUGAAUGAUA
Spinacia oleracea (spinach) is the source of this 1673-nucleotide long non-coding RNA. RefSeq lists it as uncharacterized. The transcript has 6 exons. NCBI's taxonomy places the organism in Eukaryota, Viridiplantae, Streptophyta, Magnoliopsida, Caryophyllales, Amaranthaceae. The record is from RefSeq and is a predicted model, not a curated record.